This 733-nucleotide long non-coding RNA is filed under the name Haliotis rufescens (red abalone). Its description in RNAcentral is "uncharacterized LOC124152256, transcript variant X6". Lineage: Eukaryota; Metazoa; Mollusca; Gastropoda; Lepetellida; Haliotidae. The record is from RNAcentral.
UACGUAUUCUUUCAAGAGUUGCCAAUAUAAAAAAAACAUCAUUCGAAACAAAUCCGGGCCGCUUGGGCAUGACCUUCACCUCUCCUUUCUCGUCCAGCAGCGCUCCGUCAGUCCAAGCCAGUAUGCAUCUGAGGCAGAAAAUUUAUUCAAGCUCUGAAGUCCCAAACAACUGAAAAUGCUCCAAAACACCAUCACGUGACCCUGGUAUUCUCAAAGUGCUGGUGAAAUAGCAGACACUACAUCUGUCUAUGAGCAAUGGACAGAACUGAGAAUACCUUAUCAUGAACAGUAGUGUGCACUGCUGGCAACAUCCUGUUUUUUUGGCACACAAUAGCAUCCCUCCUGAUCAAGUGAAAAGGAAUCCUAUGACACCGCUUGAUCUUUGUCUGACAUGGAAAUCUGCAAAUCAAAUAAGGUGGAAGAAUAACAUCUGGUUAAAAAAAUUAUGUGGAAAAGUCAGCGGGUCAGAAAUCACCCACAUAACUGCUGUUAUCUGAACACAGUUCAGAUAUCCGCUUUAAUGAAGUCAUGAACUGGACGCUGCGCUCUUGAUUCCAGCACUAAUAUUGUCAUGACCAAAUGUUAAUAAUUUUCAUAUUCAGCAAGUUGAAGAUGACUGACACCAUCUUUAAGUUUCACAAAUAUGUUAUUCAGAAGUUUUUUGUUUUCACUACUGAUUUAUAUAUAGUAUUAAAAAAUGGAUUUCUGCAAUAGAAUAAAGUAUUGAAAUACA